RNAcentral lists this microRNA (23 nucleotides) under Strongylocentrotus purpuratus (purple sea urchin). Its description in RNAcentral is "Spu-Mir-2004_5p* (star (passenger))". The record is from RNAcentral. Lineage: Eukaryota; Metazoa; Echinodermata; Echinoidea; Camarodonta; Strongylocentrotidae.
CUUUCUGUGGCUGUCGUGUUAAG